RNAcentral lists this long non-coding RNA (233 nucleotides) under Mytilus galloprovincialis (Mediterranean mussel). Lineage: Eukaryota; Metazoa; Mollusca; Bivalvia; Mytilida; Mytilidae. The record is from RNAcentral.
GUAAAAUAUAAAAUAAAUGCCAAAUUUACUAAAUCAUAAAAUGAACUUAAUCUCAAAAUCAAAAUAUAAAAGUCUUAAAAGUAUUUUCUAAAAUUAAAUUAUGAUUCAGAGAUAAAUUUUGUCUCAACACUGCACAGUCAACUAGUAGACUGGUAAAACAAUCUUUUAGGUCUAGUAUAAUGACAUGAGCAUGACGAGUAGUGUGAGGUUACGCUUCCAGAACACUGACUGCU